UACGUAGGUGGCAAGCGUUAUCCGGAUUUAUUGGGCGUAAAGGGAACGCAGGCGGUCUUUUAAGUCUGAUGUGAAAGCCUUCGGCUUAACCGGAGUAGUGCAUUGGAAACUGGGAGACUUGAGUGCAGAAGAGGAGAGUGGAACUCCAUGUGUAGCGGUGAAAUGCGUAGGUAUAUGGAAGAACACCAGUGGCGAAAGCGGCUCUCUGGUCUGUAACUGACGCUGAGGUUCGAAAGCGUGGGUAGCAAGCAGG
RNAcentral lists this ribosomal RNA (253 nucleotides) under uncultured bacterium. RNAcentral describes it as "partial 16S ribosomal RNA". It matches the Rfam family "Bacterial small subunit ribosomal RNA", at positions 524 to 776 of the family's 1533-position model. The record is from RNAcentral.